AGCCCUGAGAGUGGCAUCUAGCACCUGUAACCCUCACUUAGAAUGCAUGUGCCAAGAUUUCGGUGGAUAGCAAGUGCCGCAGGUAGCAGCAGCAGCAGAAGCAGCAGCAGCAAAACACACUUGUCACGGGUCAGAAUAUUUUACCUAAUUGGAAUCUAUGGGGUGAUGUGUUGAUUCCAGUGUGGAAAAGCAAAGAAGGCAUUUUGAGGAUGAAGCUGCGGGGGGGGGGGGGAGAUAAGGUAGAAAAGGCAUUUAUCCUGCAAUAUCAGGUGUAAUUUGGACCAUAAUUUGGAUCUGGAAAUAGAGUCAAAGGCCGAUUUCAGGUCCAUAAAGGCCACAAAUAGUUUUCCCUAUAGAGGUCUAGUCUACUUCUCAGCUAGGAGGGACAGCGCUAGGCAAUGGUCUGAUGUUGCGUGAUUCUUGUGAAAGGCAGCCUGAGCUUCAGAUAUUAUGUCAUUCAGAAAAGUUGUCAGUUUGAUACAGAGAAAGCGGGCAUACAGCUUUCCUAUUAUACAGAGCAAACUGAUAUGCCUAUAAUUAGAAGGCAUGUUUGACUGGCCUUUCUUAAAAAUUGGGACAACUAUUGCAUGUUUCCAACUGAUCAGUACUUUGCCUGAAUUGUUAACUGCUGUAACAAGUGCCGCAAGAAGAGGGGCCCACCAGUGCUGGUUUGAUGUAAUCAACUCAGCUGGAAUAAAGUCGUUUCCUGGGGCCUUGCCACUCUUCAGAUUCCUAAUUAAUGUGUAGGCGUCCAUCAACCGGGUUCCAUCAUGGCAGCAAUGACAUUUCUGCGGAGUCUUCAUCAUAAAAGCAGGGGGAGGAGUUCAAAUUGUCUGUAAAUAUUUUUCUGAAAUGGUUUUCCCAUACUUGGGCUGGGAUGGCACAGCUAGGGGCUGGGGAACUGUUACUUAGCGUACCGGAUACCAACUGCCAGAAGAGUUUGACUUCGUUAUUGUCAGGGAACCGCCAUCAGUGCCGGAGGGAGAGAGCAAAAGCCAGAGGGAUUCCAGAGAGCGUCCAGGGAUCGGGAGGAGCAGCCCAUCUUCUGGGGAAGAGAAUCAGCGUAGCACCAGUGGAGAAGGGGGGCAGAUGGGGGAAGCGGCGAGGCGGUCCCAUGACUCCUUGCCUGGGACCAGCGGGGAGAGUAGGGGUCCUCCGCUGCCCACGCCCUCCUUGCGCAGAAGGCUUUCGCACAGAGAGAGUAGGAGGAGACUAGGCGUCAAAGAGCUUCUUUGCUGGAAGAAGUUUAAGAAAUGCCCACUGACGGAUUCUGCCAGCGAUUGAGACAGCCACGGGUGAGUGGCUGUCCGGACAGAAAAGGUUCACUUAGGCAACCCAGCCAGGUGUUUGCACCCAGCCGGGGAGAUAAGCACCGGCUUACGCACGAGCAACCCCUACAACCACUACAGUUAUUUAGCAAAGCAUUCAGUAACAGGGACUAGGAAUUUUGUUCAAACUGGCUUUUUUUGUGGCCAAAAGGGUUUUGUACUCUUUUUUGAUAUUUAAACAAGUUGGAGGUAGAUCAUUUAAACCAGUGUUUCUAUAAGCCAAAUAAGAGUCCCUUAAGGCUUUCUUCUUCAUGUGGCACUCUUGGUCAAACCAGUUGCUCCUUUAACAAUGUGGGGCUUGCUGGCUAGAUUUGUGUUCGCUAAGACCACAUCCUGCAAGUACUCAAUGAGAUUUUCGUAAGCCGCCAGGGAAGAAUCUGUUGAAAGAGCAUUAAUUAUAGUUGGUCUUAAACUAAUUGCAGUUUGCGAAUUCAGUCUGGUCUCGGCUAAGAUAGCUAGCUCAGGGGUCCAUUUUUUCCUAUGCUUUGCUGACCCUUUAGCUUGACCGUUUAUCUCUUGUUCUAUGUGUGACCUUUGAGUUUUGGCCUGAGAUGGAGAGAAUCAGAGGGAGACAAUCACUCUCGGUUCUGUUAUCAAUACUAAAGUUUUUGAUUGAUUUAAAGGUCUUCCUGUUUGUGAGACAAUAGUCUACUGUGCUGGCUCCAUUAAUAUUUAUAAAUGUAAACUCUCCUUCGCUGCCCAAAGGAAACACCCCAUUUAUAAUCGUAAGGUAAAGACUUACCAUAUCUGUAAAGAGGCCAGGCAAAAGCCAGCGUAGUUGGUUAUGCAGUCUUUGGAGGACCUGUGAGGGAGGGAGCGUAAGGAGGAAGGACUAUUUUCCUUGAGUUCUGUUAGCAUACGGAAUUUAGCUUCCAGGCAGUUGUCGUUGGGGCCUAUUCUGCAGUUCAGGUCUCCCAUUAUAUAGAGUGGCGCAUCAGGGCACUUGGAGUAUAUUUUUGGAAAUUGCCCCAUGUACUCUCAAUAUGUACUUGCGGUUUGUAUGGCGAGAUAUAAGCUGAAACAAGAAUGAUACUUUGGGGCCCAGAAUGCAAGAUGAUCCCCAGCACCAAGUGCUUUGAAUCUUUAAAUUCAAUAAUCUGUGUUGUCAAGGAAGUGGAUACCAGUAUUACAAGGGCCUUCCUUGGACGUCCUUUCUCAUACAGUUUAGUGGCCUUAAUUUCGUGGGCAAAGUAACCUUCCAGGAUUAUAUUGAAAGUUGCCCAGGUUUCCAGCAACAUUAUCACAUUGAAAUGUGUUAUAUACUCGUGAAAUGACUCAUCCCCUACUUUGUUGGCCCAACCUGCUAUGUUCCAUGAGAUAAUAUUUAGGCUACUCUCGUCGCCGGCGAUUUGGCUUCAUUGUGGAUGGCAGAUUGUAGUCAGCUCUCCCUCUGUCUCAGUUAUAACACAACCAUUCUUGAGGUGUUUGGAGUGUUGUUCUUUCUGGGGUUGUUUGACAGACUUGUCCAGAUUGCCAGCGAUCAGCAGUAGCGUUCAGUUGUUUGUGGCUUUCGGGGGAUCGGAGUCAAAAGUAAUUAAGUCUGUCUCUGGCAGUCUUGGUGUAAUGCUUUCCUCGGGUGGGGCAACGCCUGGCAAUGGAUUAUCUGUUUUCUGUGACGAUGGUGAGUGGUGGAUUUCGAGAUCUACCAAAGUCCUGGUGGAAGAACUGAUUUUUGACACAGGUGAGUUGGGCAAGCAUUAUUUGUGUGCUUGGCCAUUAAACUCAGAAGGUUUUCUGUCCUGGGGGAUGUUUCGGCCAAAUUCUCCACCCGGAACCUGCCUUAGUGGCACUGGGGUUUGUGCCUUAAACCUUUGGCAAAUGCCCGCUGAUGAUGAGGGCUUGGAUUGAUUGAAGUCGGUCCGACUGCACAGACAAUUCGGCAGCAAAGGCUUUAAUUCUGUGUCUUCAAAAACAUGCCUCAAGAUAACUAUAUAAUCCUGUAGGCAGGUCUUGUAUUUCAGAAGUAGUUUUGGAAUAACUGAAUCAGUGAAUGAUAAUAAAAGUCUAGAAUGUUGAGAGUCCGAUGAAAGCAGGUUUACCGCGGUAAGAUUGUCGUGCUGGAUGUUUAGCAACAGUUUGAAAUUUCGCUUUGCACUUGCGAUUGAAUUCCAGAAAGGGAACAGACCAUUAAAAGGGUAACCAUCGAGAACUACUUGAGAGCUUUGUAGGAUUAGUUUGCUGUUUCCAUGUUUGUUAUUCUUUCUGUAAGAGGUUUUACGGGUUCUGGCACAAGAACAGCUACACCCCUGAGUUUGAAGAUCUUGUUAAGAGCGCUGUGGCCAGACUCUUGGGUGGCAAUAGGACUGUUCCGGGUUGCCAACAGCGCCAACUCAGCCAGGAGGGACACUACCUUUUCUAAUUUGAGGUUAAUUUCCUCUACCAUUCUUGCUGUUAACAAACAGUGGUCCACAAGUACAGUACUUCAGCAUAAGAUGGUACACCCUCAGCUGCUUUCUUUGUUUGUUUGUUUGUUUGUUUGUUUGUUUGUUUGAAAUCUCAUUUUCUGUAAGAUUGGUGGAAGGUGACUGGGGACAAACUAGUGAUUCUAGAUGUCUCUGUUCUGCCCCUCUAGAUUAAUGGCUCAUCCAGCUUCAAAUAAAAUGGUGGUCAAAAUGGUAUUCCAUGACUGAAGGACAUUUAGGUGAGUAUCCCUUGGUUGGCCAGGGAGAAAAUCUCUGUUGUGUUCCGUCUGCAACUCAUUGUGCUAAGACUCUUUCAGGUUGCAGUGACAGAGUUGUCAGAAGAGGCCCUAUUCUGUGUCACCACAAUGAGGCUCACCUGCAGGUAGGAGAAGACUUCUUCUUUUGUUCCAGCCCUUCUCUCCUUUUGUUCCAGCUUGUCUUUCCUUCAGGUUUCUCAGAGUAUCCCUUGCAUGGCUAGGGGGAAAUCUCUAUUGUGUUCCGUCUGCAACUCAUUGGGCUAAGACUCUUUCAGCUGGGAUGACUGAGUUGUCAGAAGAGGCCCUGUUCCAUGUCAUCACGAUGAGGCUCACCUGCAGGUAGGAGAAGACUUCUUCUUUUCUUCCAGCUCUUCUUUCCUUCAGACUUCCCAGAGUUCACUGUUCUUGAAGUGAGAGUCACCAGCAUUAGGACAGUGCUGCUUUAGGUAAGUUCACAUUCUACCACUCAGUCGUCUGUUUUCAAAACAAUGUCUUUUGUAUUGGUCUCUCCUUUUCCUCAUUUUCUUUUCCGCUGGUCUCUCCACAGGUCUCCCCAAAGAGCUCUUCUUAACAUCUUAAGGUUUUCUUUUUCCUGAGAGAACAUUCACAGAAUGUUCUCUCAGGUUUUGCUUUUCCCCUUGUUGCAUUGCUCAAAAAAAAAGCAAGAGACACUGGUGGUUGGCGCUCCUGGUUCCCAGGACGGGGUUCAAAUCCCUGCGGUGUCCAUGCUUACUUCCAAUGCAACUGCUAUCUCUCUCUAUUCCUCUCUAUCCCUCUCUCUAUCCCU
RNAcentral lists this long non-coding RNA (4774 nucleotides) under Podarcis lilfordi (Lilford's wall lizard). Lineage: Eukaryota; Metazoa; Chordata; Lepidosauria; Squamata; Lacertidae. The record is from RNAcentral.